RNAcentral lists this long non-coding RNA (6542 nucleotides) under Lathyrus oleraceus (garden pea). RNAcentral's name for it is "Pisum sativum (pea) long non-coding RNA (PSAT_LNC021909)". The record is from RNAcentral. Lineage: Eukaryota; Viridiplantae; Streptophyta; Magnoliopsida; Fabales; Fabaceae.
UUCUCCUAACUCUACUCUCAUUUGCAACAUCAACACCAUCAAGUUUCAUCAAAACCUCAUGUGCACCACACAAUACCCUACACUUUGUGUUUUUCAAUCUCUAUCUGUCUAUGCAUCACAAGUCCAACAAGAUCAACAGUUAGUCAAGCUUAUCUUAGUCUCAACAAAUCAAUCCACAAAAGGCUUUGUUACAAUGUGCAAAGCGUCAAAAAUCUUAAAACCAUCAGAAUGCUGCUCUUCAUGAUUGUGCUGAGAAAUCAAGUGAUAGUGUUGAUAGGCUUAGCCGUUCAUUGAAAGAGCUUCACUCUGCAAGAUCAACGGUCAGGAUUCAAUUGGCAUAUAAGCAAGUGGGACAUGGGUUAGCUCAGCUUUGACAGAUGAGAGCACUUGUGGGAUGGAUUUAGUGGAAAAGCACUUGAUGGAAAAAUCAAGCUUCUAUUAGAUCUAAGAAUGGUUAAUGUUGCUCAAGUUACUAGUAAAUGCUCUUUACUUACUUAUCAAUAUGCUGCUAAACACUAGUAAAGAUCAAACACUAGGAAUCAAAGGUUUGCUUUUAGGUGUGGAGAUGCCUUUAAUGUUGUUGGUUUUUUUUUGUUUUAAUUUAUGUGGUGUGUAAUGUGUAAUUAUAUCUAUAUUUAUAUAAUAUAAAGAGAGACAUAACUUUGUCAAGUGUGAAAUAAAUUUUCUAUUGAUUUAUUGAUUUUUUAUUUGCAAAAUUCUUUGGAUUGAUGUAUGAAAAUGUUCAAAAUUUAUCUUUCUAUCUCGGCCUCAACCCAAUAGGUGUCUGUAAGAUUUUUUUUUUGGAUUAUUUCAAAGUUUAGAACCAAAUAUACUUCUUGAUGGAUUUUGGCAAGUGAACCAAAAUUUGUCAAGUAGUAUAAUUUUAAAGAGAUUGUAUCUACAAGAAUGUUAUAAUUCACGGGACGAUAAUGAUUAUACUUGUUUAAAAAAAUGUAAUAAUUAGUAAUGAAAGGGUACAUAUUAUUGGAAUUCCUUAAUAAUUCAAAUGCUUCAUAGAAGCUUUAAAAAGCACUGCAUGAAAAUAGUUAUUGAUAUGGUUUUGGAAAAAAGCUGUUUUUUUAAUUCUUUUUUUCUGUUAAUUCUUGGCCUGUUUGUGGUAUCCAUUUUGUACCCUAUAAAUAGACAUUGUAGUAUAGUUGAGGUAUAAGCCAUAUAUUCAAUUCUCUCAAUCUUUCUCUAUUUCUCUAUCUCUCUUAUCUCACAUUAUCAUUUUCAUUGCUUCCCAAACACAACUGUCUAUGUCACCACUGCUUUUGGUUUUCGCAACAUUUGGUAUCAGAAGCUUGUUUUGAAUCCAAUUCCGUCUGCAAUCAUGUCCGGUCAAACGAUAAAAUACACUACCAAAUCGUGCCUCCUCGUGACUCGAAAAACUGACGACAAUGGCGAGACAAAUGAAGGGGUUUGUUCGCUAUCAACGUUCUUGGGAUGCAAAGAUGUGUGGGGUGACGGGUGGUUCGUCGAAGAGAGCAUCCGGAUGCUCAAAAGGCUACAUGAUAAAAGAGAAAAGAAGAAGGAUUUACAAACGUGUGUUUUGAUCCAUUCUUGUGUCGAUGCGUGAAAACUUUGAAAAAGUAGGCCAUUGCCGAUUCGCCAGCAAGCGAGGGAUUUGAGAAGGCUUAUGCAGGGGUACCAAGCCAAAUGUGUGAGGUUACUAAACUCACAGCGGACAGUCGAGUUAAUGCAAAAUCGGAGGACAAGGAGUCGAUAAAACGAUUAUGCUGACGCGUAUACGCGUGUAUGUGAAUCAAAUAAGUCGUGCGGGAGAAAACUACGGUUAGAGCGGAAUGUUUUGUGUCGAAGAUCUUGCCUUCUUUAACGCCAAGAUUCACGAACAUUGUCGUUCGCGCUUGAAGAAAUCGAGAGAUUUAUCUGCAUUGAUCGAAGGGAGGAGCUCAAAGCUCACUAGAAGCUCUAUGAAGCAAUGGAUAGAGGAAACGAUAAGCGAAGUCGGAAGUAGCUUGCUGCAAGCAGCGACUCAUGAAAGAGUAAGACGAUCAAAGGAAAAGGGCAUCGAGAGGGGUCCAAUUUCCAAAUUUGUGUGGUAAGAGUCACAAAAUUCCAAAGGCAAACGGUGAGGAAGCUCCAAGAGGGUGAUAAGGAACCCACAAAGCCAUUGACGAAGUACGUGAAGUGUGUACAAUCUGUCAAAGCUUGAAGGAUUUCGCAAAGUUUUGCCGCGACGAAGAGAAAUCGAAUGGGCUGAGGCGGAAAGCUUUGCUAAGGAAGAAGCGAAUAUGAUAUACGCUUUGUGAUGAAUCAGGAGAGAAAUCUCGAUGCCCAUGACGACAAAGCGGGGCCGGACGCGCGUUCCGGCGGCAGUGUGCAGACGAAUUCUGGCAGUAAGACGCGAGUUCAGGACGGAAACGCCAAUGGUAGCGUCUCGAGGAUGCAAUUCAAGAGUAGAACGAGUGGUAGUUGCGAUUCUGAGGUCUGGGAGCUCACUCAUACGGAGAAGAUUGUUUGUCCAAAUUCCAAUCGAGCAGCAAGAUUAAAGUGAGAUUGCGAUGAUACGGAUGUUAUCCCGAUGGCCGGGUUGGAAUGUCUGUGAUGCCGCUGAAAGAAGCUGAUGCGGUUCAAUUGAUCUAAGGAUGGUCUGUGACGAUUCGGAGGAUCGAAUGUAAUCUCUUGGCAGUGGCAACUGUUGGUACCCAGAGGCCAAUUUUGGUAUUGUAGUGAAUUAUUUUAUAUAGAAUGAGGCUUUAUUUUUAUUAACGUCCUUGUUUAGAUAGAUCCCCCGCGAGCUGUCGCGGCGCCGCGCCGCCGGCUAGCGAUUCAUAUAGGCUAGUCGUGCGCGGCCGCUUUAAUGCUAGUCAGUACAUUAAUCAUGAGAUGAGCAUAACCAUUAAGGACGACUAUUCUUAACGGUAGUCACGUAGAUCGAGCUGUCGGACUUAUUGUGCAAGUCCGGGCGGGGGAUGCCAUUAAACCAUUAAGACCUACAUAGCGUGGUAUAUAGCCUGGAUGAUGCACAUCUCAGUGGAUAUGGAUAGCGGAUGGAGUUAUCAAGUCUUAAAUAGGUGAUCUUAAGAUAUAUUCUAUAGCCGUAUGACGGGCGCUACUGGAUCUGAUAUAUAAGUUAUGCAGGUGUUCCGUAUCUAUCUUCCUCAUGGUAUACUGGUCGUUAUCAAUCUUCGACCGUGAACCCAGUCUUGGACCCUCGAUGUUCGGUGCUUAUAUUGUGAUUCCAACUGUUGUCGAAUGCUCAUAACCAUAAAGACAUGGCAUGGGUCUCCGGGUCGGCAAUGUUGACGGGCGCAUGAGUGGACCUAGAUGGAUCUUUGCCAUCCUACUACAAGGAUAAUGUUAUGGCCAAUGAUUGAAUGGAAGGAUAGCCGGCUCUAUGCUUUCUUCAAUCUGUACUAGAAUUCAAUCGGCAAAGCGAUACUAAUAAUGAUAACAGACAGAGACUUGUCAGAGUCUGAUUUUCGGUGUCGUUGGGUCGCGUUCAUGUGACUGUGCUGUACGGAUACGCUCACUUUAAUUAUGCUCGAUACGAUGAUUUCACCUGAUAUUUACGCAUGCGCGAUAACGCUAGCAGGUCACAAAAGGCGGGGGUUAUGGGAGAUGACGGAUAAUAGAGAACACGUAAGGUAGGGUGCCCUUAGUGAAUUGUGGUGAAUCGUCGUCUNGUCGACUUAUUUAACAUUAUAAAUGUAUAUGGAUAUGUAGGUCAACCUAUUUAACAUUUUUUAAAUAUAUAUAUAUAUAUAUAUAUAUAUAUAUAUCAUCCUAUUUAGACUAUUUUUAAUAUAUAUAAAAAUAUAGACGGGUUUAUAAGAUUUCAUAGACUUUUUUAAUAGCCUAAGCCUGACCUACUUAAUUAAAUAAUAUUUUUUAAUAGUCUAAUCCUGACCUAUUUAAUUAAAUAGGUUUUUACAAAAACCUAAGUCUGAAUUUUUUAUUAAAUAGGUUUAGGGUUUAGUCCUUUAUAGACUAAUCUGACCUAUUAUUAUCCCUAAUUACAAUCAACCAAAAUUUAGUGUAACCAAAUAAAUUAGAACCUACUCUAUUAUAAUGUGAAGAAACACAAUCAAGCGUAAGAGGAAAACGAUAUUUUAACGUUUGAUAGUUUAAAAAAAAAGUUUUGUUCCAAAUUACAUGUUACAUUUGAGUAUUUUACACGUAUUAAGAAAGUGUGAUAAAUAAAAGAGAGAAUAUCAAUUUUAUCAUUGGUGCAUUCUAAUGAUCAUAAAUGCCAAGUGAGAAUAACCGGAGAGUGAUAUAGAUAGUAUUAAUUGAAGGGUAACAUUGGAAGCAAAAAUUAAAUUUGUAUUGGAAACUAAAAGCAAACAUUUAUUUUGAAACAAAUAAUUUAUUAAAAUGCGAUAUUUAUUUUGGGACGGAGAGAGUAUCAUUUCUUAUGUAAAGAGAACUCGAUACCCUGGACUCUUUCUGAUUUUAAUUAUAUUGGAUUGUUGAUGGAGAGUAUGGGUUUUUGAGAUGAUAUAUCCUGGUUUUGGGGUGUUAGAUAGAGGAGAGAGCUUUUUGUUUUUGAGCGUGACCUAGUCGGUAACCCUGUCGCAACGAGCUAGAGUACAAACAUCUUCCAUGACGAUGACACGUAGUCAUGUAAUCCGGAUGAAAAUGAGGUGUAUUUGGUUAAAUAAACUUUUUAGCUUUGUUAAAUACUAGACUUCUCGUUGAUGAGUCUAAUAAUGAAGUUGAUUCUAUUAUGCCUCUUGUUGGAAGAAGUUGAUCCAUUCUAAAGUUAUUGUCUUCUCCUAAAAGCUUCUCCAAGAUCGAAUUCUGGCGAGGGAUAAUCUAUGUGGCUGUUGAAUUAUAAUAGGCUCUGGUGAAUUAAUGUGCACUUUUUGUCAAGGCUCUACAUAAUUUGUUAAUCAUAUUUUCAUUACUCAUCAGGUGACAUCUAACUUGUAAUAUAAUAUUUUUAGGUGUUUUGGGUGGACUUUUGUGUACCUAGAGAAAUAGUUUGUUAUUCGAGACUGUCAUAUCUUUAGAGAAGAAGUCUAGUGGUAGAGUUUGACCUACCUUAAUUUGACACUAUCAUGUGAACCUUAUGAAAAUUCCAAAAUGAACAUUUUUUUUCAAAUAAGACAUCAACAAUGGAGGAAUUGGAGAAUCAAAUUCUCUUCGCCUCUUAGAAUUGGUUUCUUACUAGAACUUCGAUUUAUUCUCGCAUGUUCUUUAAUUGGAUGGUGGAUCAUAUCUUCAGAAUCGAUAGAUGUUGAAGGAACCACUUUUCCAGCCUCAAGAGUAGUUUAUUGUUCAAAUGGUGAUUAUGGCCUUUGGUAUAUUUCCAAAACUUUUAUAACUAAAGGUCUUUGUAGUCUUUAUUAUAUAUGUAUACUUAGGAAUCGUUAACAUCAUCAUCAGUGUCAGAUUUAACUUACUUAAAUCUCUCAAUAACUCUUCGUAAAUGAUUAAUUAAAUUAAUCAAUCUUAUUAUUGAAUUAAUAGAUACUAUCAGAUAGAUUAAGUCUAUAAAAUUUUAUAAAAUUUAAAAAAAUCAUUUGAUAUUCAAUCACGUCAAUUAUAUUAUUUUAACAUAUAAUAAAUAUCAACUAUUAAAAUAUAUAAUAAUGGAUGUUUAAAUUGUUUGAUACUUUUAUACAUGAUCAUCAUAUAUAAUUUAAUGUUAAGAUUGAUUUAAUUCUUAAUUUAGAAAGAAUUAUAGAAAGUGUAUAUGUUAAGUUUGACCCAUGGUGUCAAUAGUGUAUUGAUUUUAUAUAUAUAUUGUUGGCUUGUCAAAUUCAAGUUUCUCCAUUUAUAUAAUUUACCCUUUAAUUUAUUUUACACGCUUUAUUUUAGAUUCUCUCUUAUUUUAUCUAAAUAGUGGACCCCACCAUGCAGAGUUAGGCACAUGAUAAUGAUAUAGUUGGGAACUAUUGACUCACAAGCCCAAACCCCAUCUAUAUCUCUAUAUAAUAUCUACAUUCUUAUUCUCACAAAUCACAACCAAACCUCAAAACAAAACCUCUUUUUUCUCUCUACCAAACAUGGCAACAAUGUUUACUCUUCUUUUCCUUCUCCUAACUCUACUCUCAUUUGCAACAUCAACACCAUCAAGUUUCAUCAAAACCUCAUGUAGCACCACACAAUACCCUACACUUUGUGUUCAAUCUCUAUCUGUCUAUGCAUCCACAAUCCAACAAGAUCCACACCAGUUAGUCCAAACAGCUUUAUCCCUUAGUCUCAACAAAACUCAAUCCACAAAAGGCUUUGUUACAAUGUGCAAAAGCUUCAAAAAUCUUAAACCAUCAGAAUAUGCUGCUCUUCAUGAUUGUGCUGAAGAAAUCAGUGAUAGUGUUGAUAGGCUUAGCCGUUCAUUGAAAGAGCUUAAACUCUGCAAGAUCAACGGUCAAAAAGCUUCAAAAAUCUUAAACCAUCAGAAUAUGCUGCUCUUCAUGAUUGUGCUGAAGAAAUCAGUGAUAGUGUUGAUAGGCUUAGCCGUUCAUUGAAAGAGCUUAAACUCUGCAAGAUCAACGGUCAGGAUUUCAAUUGGCAUAUAAGCAAUGUGGAGACAUGGGUUAGCUCAGCUUUGACAGAUGAGAGCACUUGUG